This 69-nucleotide transfer RNA is filed under the name Cordylochernes scorpioides. RNAcentral describes it as "tRNA-Asp". Lineage: Eukaryota; Metazoa; Arthropoda; Arachnida; Pseudoscorpiones; Chernetidae. The record is from RNAcentral.
UGCAUCCGCCGGGAAUCGAACCCAGGCCUCGCGUGACAGGCGAGCAUUCUACCAAUGAACCACCGAUGC